GAUGAACGCUAGCGACAGGCCUAACACAUGCAAGUCGAGGGGCAGCACAAUGGUAGCAAUACUAUGGUGGCGACCGGCGCACGGGUGAGUAACACGUAUGCAACCUACCUGUAAGCGGGGAAUAACCCGAAGAAAUUCGGACUAACACCGCAUAAUACUGAUUAACUUCAUGGUUUUUCAGUUAAAUAUUUAUAGCUUACAGAUGGGCAUGCGUAUGAUUAGAUAGUUGGUAGGGUAACGGCCUACCAAGUCAACGAUCAUUAGGGGUUCUGAGAGGAAGGUCCCCCA
This 288-nucleotide ribosomal RNA is filed under the name uncultured Bacteroidota bacterium. RNAcentral describes it as "uncultured Bacteroidetes bacterium partial 16S ribosomal RNA". It matches the Rfam family "Bacterial small subunit ribosomal RNA", at positions 28 to 310 of the family's 1533-position model. The record is from RNAcentral. Lineage: Bacteria; Pseudomonadati; Bacteroidota.